RNAcentral lists this ribosomal RNA (714 nucleotides) under uncultured bacterium. Its description in RNAcentral is "bacterial SSU rRNA". It matches the Rfam family "Bacterial small subunit ribosomal RNA", at positions 771 to 1501 of the family's 1533-position model. The record is from RNAcentral.
AACAGGAUUAGAUACCCUGGUAGUCCACGCCGUAAACGAUGGAUACUAGCUGUUCGGAGCAAUCUGAGUGGCUAAGCGAAAGUGAUAAGUAUCCCACCUGGGGAGUACGUUCGCAAGAAUGAAACUCAAAGGAAUUGACGGGGGCCCGCACAAGCGGAGGAGCAUGUGGUUUAAUUCGAUGAUACGCGAGGAACCUUACCAGGGCUUAAAUGGGAGACGACAGUUUGGGAAACCAGAUUUUCUUCGGACGUCUUUCAAGGUGCUGCAUGGUUGUCGUCAGCUCGUGCCGUGAGGUGUCAGGUUAAGUCCUAUAACGAGCGCAACCCCUAUCGUUAGUUGCCAGCGGGUCAUGCCGGGAACUCUAACGAGACUGCCAGUGCAAACUGUGAGGAAGGUGGGGAUGACGUCAAAUCAUCACGGCCCUUACGUCCUGGGCUACACACGUGCUACAAUGGGCGGUACAGAGAGCAGCCACUACGCAAGUAGGCGCGAAUCUUCAAAACCGUUCUCAGUUCGGAUCGGAGUCUGCAACUCGACUCCGUGAAGCUGGAUUCGCUAGUAAUCGCAUAUCAGCCAUGAUGCGGUGAAUACGUUCCCGGGCCUUGUACACACCGCCCGUCAAGCCAUGGAAGCUGGGGGUACCUGAAGUCGGUGACCGCAAGGAGCUGCCUAGGGUAAAACUGGUAACUGGGGCUAAGUCGUAACAAGGUAACC